This 253-nucleotide ribosomal RNA is filed under the name uncultured bacterium. RNAcentral's name for it is "partial 16S ribosomal RNA". It matches the Rfam family "Bacterial small subunit ribosomal RNA", at positions 524 to 776 of the family's 1533-position model. The record is from RNAcentral.
UACAGAGGGUGCAAGCGUUAAUCGGAAUUACUGGGCGUAAAGCGCGCGUAGGUGGUUUGUUAAGUUGGAUGUGAAAGCCCCGGGCUCAACCUGGGAACUGCAUUCAAAACUGACAAGCUAGAGUAUGGUAGAGGGUGGUGGAAUUUCCUGUGUAGCGGUGAAAUGCGUAGAUAUAGGAAGGAACACCAGUGGCGAAGGCGGCUCUCUAGUCCGGUACUGACGCUGAGACGCGAAAGCGUGGGGAGCGAACAGG